RNAcentral lists this ribosomal RNA (481 nucleotides) under uncultured bacterium. Its description in RNAcentral is "bacterial SSU rRNA". It matches the Rfam family "Bacterial small subunit ribosomal RNA", at positions 903 to 1397 of the family's 1533-position model. The record is from RNAcentral.
AAAUGAAUAGACGGGGACCCGCACAAGCAGAGGAGCAUGUGGUUUAAUUCGAUGGUAAGCGAGAAACCUCACCUAGGUUUGAAAUGUAGCUGCAAGCCGAAAGAAACUUUGGCCGCCUUCGAGGGUGCUACACAGGUGCUGCAUGGUUGCCGUCAGCUCGUGUCGUGAGAUGUACCGUUAAGUCGGGUAACGAGCGCAACCCCCGUCCCAUGUUGUUUUUUCAUGGGAGACCGCCUCGGAUAACGGGGAGGAAGGUGGGGAUGACGUCAAAUCAGCAUGGCUCUUACACCUAGGGCUACACACGUGCUACAAUGGCCAUGACAAUGGGCUGCCAAGUCGCAAGACGGAGCUAAUCCCACCAAACAUGGCCCCAGUUCGGAUUGGGGGCUGCAAUUCGCCCCCAUGAAGCCGGAUUUGCUAGUAAACGCGUAUCAGCAUCGGCGCGUUGAAUACGUUCUCGGGUCUUGUACACACCGCCCGU